This 425-nucleotide ribosomal RNA is filed under the name uncultured bacterium. RNAcentral's name for it is "partial 16S ribosomal RNA". It matches the Rfam family "Bacterial small subunit ribosomal RNA", at positions 354 to 796 of the family's 1533-position model. The record is from RNAcentral.
GUGGGGAAUCUUGCGCAAUGGGCAAAAGCCUGACGCAGCCAUGCCGCGUGAAUGAUGAAGGUCUUAGGAUUGUAAAAUUCUUUCACCGGGGACGAUAAUGACGGUACCCGGAGAAGAAGCUCCGGCUAACUUCGUGCCAGCAGCCGCGGUAAUACGAAGGGGGCUAGCGUUGCUCGGAAUUACUGGGCGUAAAGGGCGCGUAGGCGGACAGCUUAGUCAGAGGUGAAAGCCCAGGGCUCAACCUUGGAAUUGCCUUUGAUACUGGCUGUCUUGAGUUUGGGAGAGGUGAGUGGAACUCCUAGUGUAGAAGUGAAAUUCUUAGAUAUUCGGAAGAACACCAGUGGCGAAGGCGACUCACUGGCCCAAUACUGACGCUGAGGCGCGAAAGCGUGGGGAGCAAACAGGAUUAGAAACCCGGGUAGUCC